GCUCCCAUGGCGUAGUGGUCACUGCGCUCGCCUUGCAGGCCGGAGACCCGGGUUCGAUUCCCGGCGGGGUCA
This 72-nucleotide transfer RNA is filed under the name Diaphorina citri (Asian citrus psyllid). It matches the Rfam family "tRNA". Rfam says of the family: Transfer RNA (tRNA) molecules are approximately 80 nucleotides in length. Their secondary structure includes four short double-helical elements and three loops (D, anti-codon, and T loops). Lineage: Eukaryota; Metazoa; Arthropoda; Insecta; Hemiptera; Psyllidae. The record is from Rfam by way of RNAcentral.